AUUGAACGCUGGCGGCAUGCCUUACACAUGCAAGUCGAACGGCAGCACGGGUGCUUGCACCUGGUGGCGAGUGGCGAACGGGUGAGUAAUACAUCGGAACAUGUCCUGUAGUGGGGGAUAGCCCGGCGAAAGCCGGAUUAAUACCGCAUACGAUCUACGGAUGAAAGCGGGGGACCUUCGGGCCUCGCGCUAUAGGGUUGGCCGAUGGCUGAUUAGCUAGUUGGUGGGGUAAAGGCCUACCAAGGCGACGAUCAGUAGCUGGUCUGAGAGGACGACCAGCCACACUGGGACUGAGACACGGCCCAGACUCCUACGGGAGGCAGCAGUGGGGAAUUUUGGACAAUGGGCGAAAGCCUGAUCCAGCAAUGCCGCGUGUGUGAAGAAGGCCUUCGGGUUGUAAAGCACUUUUGUCCGGAAAGAAAUCCUUGGCCCUAAUACGGUCGGGGGAUGACGGUACCGCAAGAAUAAGCACCGGCUAACUACGUG
Molecule: ribosomal RNA, 486 nt
Filed under: uncultured bacterium
Lineage: Bacteria
Description: partial 16S ribosomal RNA
Rfam family: Bacterial small subunit ribosomal RNA
Source: RNAcentral